This 409-nucleotide ribosomal RNA is filed under the name uncultured prokaryote. Its description in RNAcentral is "partial 16S ribosomal RNA". The record is from RNAcentral.
CCCUCCGGGGUGCACCAGUAAACGGGUUUCUUGCCCUUGUAAACCCUGCCGUUAAGAUACAGCUUGCCGAACUCAGCGACGGUGGCCGCCUCGUAGGGAUAGGCCAUCGUCAGAUAGGGAUUGUCCCAUUCGCCGAAAACACCCAGCCGCUUGAACUGCGAGCGCUGAAUGUCCACGUAUUUUUCCGCGUAAGUCCGGCAGGCGCGGCGCUUUUCCACCUGCGACAUCGCCGCCUUUUUAGCACCCAGCUCCUUGUCCACCUGAUGUUCGAUGGGCAGGCCGUGGCAGUCCCAGCCCGGCACAUACACGCCGUCGAAACCGGACAUAUUUGUCGAUUUAAUGACGAUAUCCUUAAUGAUUUUAUUAAGAGCAGUGCCCAGAUGAAUAUUGCCGUUGGCAUAGGGAGAGC